GUCGGCAAGUCCUUCAGGUUCUCAGGCAGCACGAACAGAUACAACCUCACUCACAUCACAAAACCGUGGGAGGUACCUCUUCCCUGUGUCACCAUGCCAGGCUGACACAAGCAAAGUUGUCCCUGCUUACUCAGUCCAAGAGGAACCAUGCAGAUGGUGACCAGCGAGACGCACUGGGCUGUGUUUCUCAUACUCCAAUGUGUACCGGAAUCUCCAGGAGGUCUGUGUAAAAAUGCACAUUCUGACUCAGUAGGUCUUGGCUGGAACCUUAGAGCCUGAAUUUCUUGCAAGUUCCCGGGCAAUGAUCCUGCUGCUGUGGCCCAUAUUUUGUUUAGG
This 336-nucleotide long non-coding RNA is filed under the name Equus caballus (horse). Its description in RNAcentral is "lncRNA (ENSECAG00000056159.1)". Lineage: Eukaryota; Metazoa; Chordata; Mammalia; Perissodactyla; Equidae. The record is from RNAcentral.